RNAcentral lists this ribosomal RNA (585 nucleotides) under uncultured bacterium. RNAcentral describes it as "partial 16S ribosomal RNA". The record is from RNAcentral.
CCGUCAAUUCAUUUGAGUUUCAGCCUUGCGACCGUACUCCCCAGGCGGGAUACUUAACGCGUUAGCUUCGACCAAGCAAAAUCAUGCAAGAUCUAGUAUCCAUCGUUUACAGCUAGGACUACCAGGGUAUCUAAUCCUGUUUGCUCCCCUAGCUUUCGAAUAUCAGCGUCAGGACCAGUCCAGAAAGCCGCCUUCGCCUCAGGUGUUCCUCCCGAUAUCUACGCAUUCCACCGCUACACCGGGAAUUCCGCCUUCCUCUCCUGUCCUCAAGUCACGCAGUAUCAAAGGCAAUUCCCCAGUUGAGCCGGGGGAUUUCACCACUGACUUACAUGACCGCCUUAAUUCUCUUUACGCCCAAUAAAUCCGAGUAACGCUUGCCCCCUACGUAUUACCGCGGCUGCUGGCACGUAGUUAGCCGGGGCUUCCUCUGGAAGUUAAGUCAAGCACGGGUGGUGUUGAUACCCGUGCAUUUAAUGCUUCCUGACAGAGGUUUACAAUCCUAGGACCUUCAUCCCUCAAGCGGCGUCGCUGAGUCAGGCUUUCGCCCAUUGCGCAAAAUUCCCCAAUGCUGCCUCCAGUAGGAGU